CCUACGGGAGGCAGCAGUGGGGAAUAUUGCGCAAUGGGCGAAAGCCUGACGCAGCGACGCCGCGUGAGGGAUGAAGGUCUUCGGAUCGUAAACCUCUGUCAUCAGGGACGAACGGUCACUGUGCUAAUCAGCAGUGAAUUGCCGGUACCUGCAAAGGAAGCACCGGCUAACUCCGUGCCAGCAGCCGCGGUAAUACGGAGUGUGCGAGCGUUAAUCGGAAUUACUGGGCGUAAAGCGCUCGUAGGCGGUAUGUCAAGUCAAGGGUGAAAUCCCCGGGCUCAACGUGGGAACUGCCUUUGAAACUGGCAAACUUGAGUGUGUGAGAGGAUAGUGGAAUUCCAGGUGUAGGAGUGAAAUCCGUAGAUAUCUGGAGGAACAUCAGUGGCGAAGGCGACUAUCUGGCACAUAACUGACGCUGAGGAGCGAAAGCGUGGGUAGCAAACAGGAUUAGAUACCCUUGUAGUC
Molecule: ribosomal RNA, 465 nt
Filed under: uncultured bacterium
Lineage: Bacteria
Description: partial 16S ribosomal RNA
Rfam family: Bacterial small subunit ribosomal RNA
Source: RNAcentral